Molecule: unclassified non-coding RNA, 2749 nt
Filed under: Dermacentor andersoni
Lineage: Eukaryota; Metazoa; Arthropoda; Arachnida; Ixodida; Ixodidae
Description: uncharacterized LOC126537846
Source: RNAcentral
UCUCUCGGUUUCCUCGCCGCUUUGGUUCCCUAGGACCCCGUACCCCCACUUCGCGGCAGCAGCCAUGUAAUCGUAUGCAUCCAUGAAGCUGAUCGCUUGGCUGCCGGGUUUUUAUUCUGCGACGCUUUCGUGCAACUGGGUCCGUUGCCACUUAUGCCCACCAUGGCACCGUCAGCCCGAAUCGCCGCUGCGCCGGCCUGAAGACCCGGCGCAGCCGCAUUUUGUAGCCACGACGAGCCCUGGGCAACCGCCGACGCUUGGUUAGCUUCGCCGCCCGCCCUGCUUGUAAACAUGGCGGACGUCUCUGUCAAACCAGAACCAGAGGAGGAAGCGGCAGUCGUAGACACUGCAGAUGCCACAGCAGCGGCUGACCUGCAGACGACACCGGCGCAGGCAGCCGGGCGCCGCACACGCAAACCCGUCCAGCCUUUGGGGGGCGUGGUGACGCGAAGGACCUCAGCUCGACAGGUAGCGUCGUCGGCAUCCCGUGGAAGCGCGGCUACCGAAAGCAGCAACAGCACGCCGCGACAAGGCGCACGCGCAACGCGGCAGGCGGGGCCUCGCACGCGAGCCACACCCGCCGCAGCCGCGGAGGCGGAUACACCGGCCGCCACCACGCCGCAGCGGGCUAGCGGCCGGGGCACCUGGAAGCGCAAGAAGUCUGACGCGGAAGAGCUCUCCACAUCGGAGCCUGAGAUGGAGCAUGACGACUCCGAUUCUGAUCCGGUGUGGGUGCCAGAUGCGACGACAGGCAGCAAAGGUGCGGCUGGGGCUGACGCGGACUCGCCAACAGUGGCGAACGACAGCGCAGAGCCCAUGCCAAAGGUGGCGCGUCGCGGGAAGCCGGCGAAGGCGAACAAGGCGAAAGCUGGAGCGCGGAAAAGCGCGGUAACAACAGUGAAGAAACCCAACGGAGCUUCAAAGAGCGAGGCUGGAGCAGGAGGAGGAGGUGCGGCCAAAGGGGGGAGGCGCAGCAAUGUGCGCAAGACGGAACCGGCGGCAAGCAUCGACCUGGGCAGCGGCAUUGCAUCACCAGACUCACUUCAGCUCAAGGUGGAACUGCCUGGUGAAAGCGAAGAGGCGCGGCGGCAACGCUGUGUGCAGGGCGGCAUCGGUGGUGGGGUCAAGCGGGACUACACGCGCCGGCCUGCGACCAACACCAGCUCGUGGCGGACGCCGGUGCCAGUUGUGGUGACGGAGCCGGGCGCGGCCAACACAUCUGGAGAGCUGCAGCCGGGCGACUACAUCAUCGCAGUGACCGACGUGCACCGUGCACGGCCACCCAUCUGGCGCAUCGAGGGACGGUCGCUGCUGCAGCGCUUCGAGGCCCUUGAGACCGGCGAGGAGACCCUCCUCUACCGAAACAGCUCCUCCUUUUCGGCGUGGAACCCGCUGGAGCAGUCCAAGUAUGCCAACAUCUCGGUGCGGGUGCACUCCAACAGCCGGUCAGCCACCGUUGUCGAAGUGCUCGAGAUCCAUGCCAGUCCCAGCUCCAGCCUCACCAAGAAUGGUGGUAUGGAAGCCAGGCCCACGGCAUGUGGGGACCAGCAGCCCAACCUGGAGGAGAAGUUUGAGGUGUACCUGCAGACGCUGCUGAGCCACGUGCUGGACCCUAACUUCCUGGCCGAGGUGCGCCGCGAGAAUGACGAGUAUUUCCUCGCCAACCUGCAGACGGUAGACGGCGAGAAUGAGCGCCGCAGCGCCCAGAUUCGCAACGGCUUGUGGAGGCCCGAUCUGAUGGCGGCCAUCGCUGCAUACUCUGACCUACGUGUCACCGACCUUCCUCCCGGUCAGAAGGCUGCGGUGGCCAUUAAGAACGAGACCCAAAGCCCAGCGGGGGACGAAACUGUGGUGAAGAAGGAGAUAGUCGAGAAGCCGUGUGAGGGAUGUGGGGAAGGCACAGCCUCGCGAUUGGCCGAGUUCUCUGGCGAGCCCUACGACAAGAUGGACCUCUCCUUGGAGCCCCGCUGUGAGGACAGGCCCGAGGCGCGUAGCUUCCAGUUGUGCACCUCCUGUGCGAGUCACCUUCCUACCUACAGUCAGCUGUACCACUACAAGUACCACACCUUCAAUCGAUGCAGGGAGAAGAUCGAGCGCUUGAAGGAGGAGCAGAAGGUGACCGAGUCACAUAUCAUCCUCGAGCGUUGCCUGCAAGACGACACCUGGGUCAACCAGAUGUAUGCCAACCUGCAGAAGCUGUGGCGGACAUGUGCACUCGGGUCCAGUUGACCGGCUUAUUCAUCCACCGGCUGCCGCCGGCUUCCCUGGAUUUCCCUGUCCGCUGUCGUCAUCACUCCCAAGGCCUCCUUCAACGACACACAGCACACGCUUUUUGUCCUCCAAGAUUGGAUGACUUAAAAGCAACUCUUGGUUACAUCACGUGAUCUCGGAGACCAUGUCUGGCUUGAUCCAGUGAAUGCGCAUCAAAAGUGAUGCCCCCGCAAAACGGCGGCCAGGUAUACUGCUCAUGGGCUGAAGCCCAAGCAGACCAGGGCAACAGAAGUGGCAUGGUUGCUGUCUUUGUUAGCCAUUAGUCGGUGCCAGCUUGAAACAGGCUUCAGAGCCUCCCAGGUGUUCGUAACAUUGGGUGUCCGCACCAUAUUUGAGUUUGGUCACUCAAGUGUUUCUGGAACAAGGCACAAAAUGCUAAGGGCGUGUAGUUCUCCCAACCCCCCCCCCCCCCCCCCCCCCCCCCUUGUUUUUGUGGCGUUCAGUCGUGUCCUGCAAGGACCAGCAGUGGUGUGCCUGC